RNAcentral lists this long non-coding RNA (304 nucleotides) under Bos taurus (domestic cattle). Its description in RNAcentral is "long non-coding RNA NONBTAT002957". Lineage: Eukaryota; Metazoa; Chordata; Mammalia; Artiodactyla; Bovidae. The record is from RNAcentral.
AAUUCCCUAAAGUUCAGCUACCAGUGACUGGCUUAAAGCAGUACAGAAUUCUGGACUGGGGACGUUGGGUGCUGCCAGUCCUUUAAACACAUUUCUCUUUUUUUCAUCCAUCCUCUUUCUUCUUUCCCCAACAAAAAAGAAAAGAAAGUUUGGCCACAGGAGUCAGAUGAGUAGUGUAGGGUGGAUGGCGCCUGCAGCCUUUUACAAAGAGCUUCAUGUGACGGUGGGAGGCACCGUCCCAGUUUACACAGUGGGACGUGGGACGUCGGCCGAGCAUUCAGUUGGGCAUCUUUAGACGUGUGCC